Molecule: ribosomal RNA, 460 nt
Filed under: uncultured bacterium
Lineage: Bacteria
Description: partial 16S ribosomal RNA
Rfam family: Bacterial small subunit ribosomal RNA
Source: RNAcentral
CCUACGGGGGGCAGCAGUGAGGAAUAUUGGUCAAUGGGCUUACGCCUGAACCAGCCAAGUCGCGUGAGGGAAGACUGCCCUAUGGGUUGUAUACCUCUUUUGUCAGGGAGCAACGCCGGCUACGUGUAGCCGGACUGAGAGUACCUGAAGAAAAAGCAUCGGCUAACUCCGUGCCGCCAGCCGCGGUAAUACGGAGGAGGCGAGCGUUACCCGGAUUUAUUGGGUUUAAAGGGUGCGUGGGCGGAAUGCCAAGUCCGCGGUAAAAUCGCGGGGCUCAAUCUCGCUCCGCCGUUGAAACUGGCGUGCUUGAGUGGGCGAGAAGUAUGCGGAAUGCGUGGGGUAGCGGUGAAAUGCAUAGAUAUCACGCAGAACUCCGAUUGCGAAGGCAGCAUACCGGCGCCCAACUGACGCUGAAGCACGAAAGCGUGGGUAUCGAACAGGAUUAGAUACCCCAGUAGUC